UACGAAGGGGGGCUAGCGUUGCUCGGAAUCACUGGGCGUAAAGCGCACGUAGGCGGCUUUCUAAGUCAGGGGUGAAAUCCUGGAGCUCAACUCCAGAACUGCCUUUGAUACUGGAGAGCUUGAGUCCGGAAGAGGUGAGUGGAACUCCGAGUGUAGAGGUGAAAUUCGUAGAUAUUCGGAAGAACACCAGUGGCGAAGGCGGCUCACUGGUCCGGUACUGACGCUGAGGUGCGAAAGCGUGGGGAGCGAACAGG
Molecule: ribosomal RNA, 254 nt
Filed under: uncultured bacterium
Lineage: Bacteria
Description: partial 16S ribosomal RNA
Rfam family: Bacterial small subunit ribosomal RNA
Source: RNAcentral